UUGGUCAGAAUCUACUGCAGUUAGAAACAAAGCUGACUCAUGACACAUCUAAAUUGAGUCUUUCCUUUCACAGAAGAAAGCCAGACAACAGACAGGGGAGCGGAGGAGGAGAACGAUAACUCUUGUGAAAAAGAAGGCGUGGGGACGAAGGCAGAGGAGGAGAGGAGCAUCAGUGCACCGCUGGUGUUGUCCCAGGAGAGGAUGGAGGAAGUGUGCAGGAGGCUCCACAGUCUGGAGGAACAACUAAAGAGACUACAGACUGUAGAAGAGGAGCACCACAGGCUGCAGGAGGCCCUUUCCAAGUUCUCACUGGAGGGGGGUCACUUCCAGUAAGACACCAUCACGCCACCUGCUGGCCACUAGAUUUCUACUGGUGCUGGUUUGGAGUGCGAGAGUGACUUUCAGAGGGUUCCCUGGAAAUUCCUAAACCCUCACAAGUCAUGCCUGGACCCUUUGCUGCAUUAGGGGGCUUUAUGCACAGUGCAGUGGUUCAGUGACGAACAUGGGAGGUGUGUGCAUGUGUAUGUGUGUCUGUUUGCGUGCAUGCUUGGUAGAAAGGUAUACAAAGACAAAAAAAACAAACAAAAAAAAACGGGACAUCCUACUUUUGAGUGGGAGGUUGUUUUUUGCAGAGAGGUGCCAAAAAAAAAAGGAAGAAGCAAUAUUUUGCUGUGAGAGAGAUGCUGCCUAACAAAAUGUAGUGAUUGCAAUCUGCUGUAACACACAUACGCACACCGGAGACAUGCACGCUAGAGAAUGAUUUACAUUAUUGCCAAUAGCAGACGUGCAGUAAAGGAGAAAUCCUAUGUUUGCCCGCCAGGUUCGCUCUAACCAGGUGGAAGCCUCAAGGGGCCAAUGUAGCGUUUGAAGAUGUAUGGAAAUACUACUGCUGAUAUAUAGUGUUAUUUCUAGUCUAUGCCAAAGCACCACGGAGAUGCACUUUUUUCUGAUCA
Molecule: non-coding RNA, 953 nt
Organism: Epinephelus lanceolatus (giant grouper)
Lineage: Eukaryota; Metazoa; Chordata; Actinopteri; Perciformes; Serranidae
Source: RefSeq, a predicted model, not a curated record